This 1428-nucleotide ribosomal RNA is filed under the name Triticum aestivum (bread wheat). RNAcentral describes it as "partial small subunit ribosomal RNA". Lineage: Eukaryota; Viridiplantae; Streptophyta; Magnoliopsida; Poales; Poaceae. The record is from RNAcentral.
AUGAAGAAUAACGUCGCGGCGGCGGUGCCUCGGCUGGUGGCUCACCGCGAGGUCGAGAUGUUCUCGCACUACGUCGCUAAUCAAAUCGGGAUCGAGGAUCCGAACCAGUGCCCCCACCUUUGUACAAUGGCCUACGAGUACCUGAAGAAGAGCGAGGGCUACGAGCAGAAUCUGCUCGCCUUCUUCCACAACAACAUGGACCCGGACGCCCUGCUCGUGAAGCUGAUCGAGGAGCUGGACAGAUGCAUACUCGGCUACUUCUCCUUCCACUGGAAGUGUGCAACCCACGUGAUCACGCAGGUUCUGACAGCAGAGCAACCUAAACGCAAGCUCAGGAGCUUGGUGUUUGAGGCCACUAGGAAGAUGAGGUUCGAGAGGGUGACGAGAGAGCUCAAGGUGACGAGGCUCUUCUCGACUCUGAUGGAGGAGCUCAAGGUGAUCGGGAUAAGCUACCACGACAACCGGCCGCGCUACCCCCCCGCGGAGGUGAUGGUCCCGGCGGCGCAAGGCGACCGCAGCCCGGUGCUGCUCCUGAUGGGCGGCGGCAUGGGCGCCGGCAAGAGCACCGUGAUCAAAGAAAUCAUGAAGGAGAUGUUCUGGUCUGGCGCGGCGGCGAACGCGGUGGUGGUGGAGGCCGACGCGUUCAAGGAGGCGGACGUCAUCUACCAGGCCAUCAACUCCCGCGGCCACCACAACGACAUGCUGCAGACCGCCGAGCUGGUGCACCAGUCGUCGACGGACGCGGCGGCGUCGGUGCUGGUGACGGCGCUGAACGAGGGGCGGGACGUGAUCAUGGACGGCACGCUGUCGUGGGAGCCGUUCGUGCUGCAGACCGUGGCCAUGGCGCGGGAGGUGCACCAGCAGCGGUACCGCAUGGGAGCCGGGUACAAGGUGGCCGCCGACGGGACCACCACCGAGCAGUACUGGGAGGCCGUGGAGGAGGAGGAGGGCGUCGGGCCCAACUGCAGAAUGAAGCCCUACCGCAUCGAGCUCGUCGGCGUCAUCUGCGACGCCUACCUCGCCGUCAUCAGAGGGAUCAGGCGAGCCAUCAUAUGCGGGAGGGCGGUGCGGGUGACCUCGCAGCUCAGGUCCCACAAGCGGUUCGCCUCCGCCUUCCGGAGGUACUGCGACCUCGUCGACAACGCCAGGCUCUACAGCACCAACGCCGUCGGCGGCCCAAAGCUGAUAGCGUGGAAGGACGGGGGCAGCAGGCUGCUGGUGGACGUGGAGGACAUCCAGCUGCUGGACCGGGUGAGCGGCAUCAACGAGGAGGCCAACUGCGUCCACGAGCUGUACCAGAACGGCCACCCCACGGGCGGCGCCGGGUCGGUGUGGGAGGACCUGGUGACGUCGCCGGAGAGGGCGUCCAUACAGCGGGAGCUCAAGGCGGCGAUCCUCAAGAGCGAGGCCUGCUUCCCGUCCCCGUAG